UACAGGGGGUGCAAACGUUGCUCGGAAUCAUUGGGCGUAAAGCGCACGUAGGCGGUUCGUUAUGUCGGAUGUGAAAGCCCUUGGCUUAACCGAGGAAGUGCAUCCGAAACUGGCGAGCUAGAGUACUAAAGAGGAUCGCGGAAUUCCCGGUGUAGAGGUGAAAUUCGUAGAUAUCGGGAGGAACACCGGUGGCGAAGGCGGCGAUCUGGGUAGAUACUGACGCUGAGGUGCGAAAGCGUGGGGGAGCGAACAGG
This 254-nucleotide ribosomal RNA is filed under the name uncultured bacterium. RNAcentral's name for it is "partial 16S ribosomal RNA". It matches the Rfam family "Bacterial small subunit ribosomal RNA", at positions 524 to 776 of the family's 1533-position model. The record is from RNAcentral.